CAAUUAUGACCAAAGGCAAGGUGAAAUCUGACAGAAGAUCUACUUUACCCAACUCCAAACCCUGAGAUAGGGAUUAUUUCUAGAUAGACAACUCCUCUGCUAUAUUUGAAAAGAAAAAGGUCAACGGUGGCAGGAUUCAAAGCUCUCAGUAGCUGCAAAACUCAGACCUCUUAUGAAGUAGGAGGGUCACUCCCUGCUUUCAUGAGCUCCAAAAACAGUGAUAUCAAGUAACCAUAGCUGGAAAGAAGGGGAAAAUAACUUUUAUAAGAGGUGGAAUACCACUGAUAUUUUUAUUUUAUCAGAACAGUAUUGUAAAAAGAGACAUCAGUUUAAAUGUUUAAAGUUAACCAGUGAGAAAUCCAUCAACUAACCCUGACAUAGAGUUAAGAGUCAUGAGAAACAUAACUAAUAUUAUUAAAAUGCCUGGUAAAGGUGGGGGGAUGCAGGGUGAAAAUAAAUGGCUGGUAAAAACAUGAAAGAUUAAGAUCUUCCCAUGAAUAUGGAUCUAACAAUAACUGCAUUUGUUCAUUUUACACUUUGAGGAUCAUUUUAUAUAUGCUUGAAUCAAAGCUCUAAUGGAAAGAUCACAAGCAAAUCCAGGUUUCUACAACAAACAGAGAGGUGCCCAAGCCAAGCAUAUCCUUCUGUACAAAGCUUCUUUAGAAAAACCACAGACCUGUGUGGUCUCAGUCUGUUUACCUGGCUGGCAAAAGGAACCACUGGAAAAUAAGCAAAGGAAGUCAUGAAAAAUAGUCACGAAUGGAUUACUGUGGGUUGUCCCAGAGACAAAAAAAAAAAAACAAAACAAAACAGUGGAGAAUCCUUCAAGAAAUGUGGCAGUAUUCAGCCUAGAGUUUUUGGUAAGCAAAGAAAGUCACAAAUUUCCAUAUGUACUCCAAAACAUAAACUAACCUUGAUGUUUCAACAGGGGCCAGCACUCUUUCUACAAAGAACCAAACAAAAAUAUUUUCGAUUCCAUGGGACAGUCCAGUCUCUCACACCUACUCAAUUCUGCCAUUUUAGUGCAGAAGUAAUCAUAAGUUCAGCUCAAUUCAGUCACUCAGUCGUGUCCAACUCUUUGCGACCCCAUGAAUCGC
This 1097-nucleotide long non-coding RNA is filed under the name Capra hircus (goat). Its description in RNAcentral is "lncRNA (ENSCHIG00010000932.1)". Lineage: Eukaryota; Metazoa; Chordata; Mammalia; Artiodactyla; Bovidae. The record is from RNAcentral.